This 350-nucleotide ribosomal RNA is filed under the name uncultured bacterium. Its description in RNAcentral is "bacterial SSU rRNA". It matches the Rfam family "Bacterial small subunit ribosomal RNA", at positions 917 to 1269 of the family's 1533-position model. The record is from RNAcentral.
GGACCCGCACAAGCGGUGGAGCAUGUGGUUUAAUUCGAUGCAACGCGAAAAACCUUACCUACUCUUGACAUACUUGGAAGCUCUUGUAAUGAGAGUGUGCCUUUUGGAGCCAAGAUACAGGUGCUGCAUGGCUGUCGUCAGCUCGUGUCGUGAGAUGUUCCGUUAAGUCGGAUAACGAGCGCAACCCUUACCCUUAUUUGCCAGCGAUUCGGUCGGGAACUAUAAGGGGACUGCCGGUGAUAAACCGGAGGAAGGUGAGGACGACGUCAAGUCAUCAUGGCCCUUACGAGUAGGGCUACACACGUGCUACAAUGGUAUGGACAAUGAGCAGCCACUAUGCGAAUAGAGCG